CGGACGGGUGAGUAAUGCUUGGGAAUCUAGCUUAUGAGGGGGAGUAACUACGGGAAACUGUAGCUAAUACCGCGUAAUAUCGAAAGAUUAAAGUGUGGGACCUUCGGGCCACAUGCCAUAGGAUGAGCCCAAGUGGGGUUAGGUAGUUGGUGAGGUAAAGGCUCACCAAGCCGACGAUCUCUAGCUGGUCUGAGAGGAUGACCAGCCACACUGGGACUGAGACACGGCCCAG
This 232-nucleotide ribosomal RNA is filed under the name uncultured bacterium. RNAcentral's name for it is "partial 16S ribosomal RNA". It matches the Rfam family "Bacterial small subunit ribosomal RNA", at positions 99 to 334 of the family's 1533-position model. The record is from RNAcentral.